Molecule: ribosomal RNA, 455 nt
Filed under: uncultured archaeon
Lineage: Archaea
Description: bacterial SSU rRNA
Rfam family: Archaeal small subunit ribosomal RNA
Source: RNAcentral
CCACAAGGGGUGAAGCUUGCGGUUUAAUCGGAGUCAACGCCGGAAAUCUCACCGGGAGCGACAGCAGAAUGAAGGCCAGAUUAAAGGUCUUGCCAGACAAGCUGAGAGGAGGUGCAUGGCCGUCGCCAGUUCGUGCCGUGAGGUGUCCUGUUAAGUCAGGCAACGAUCGAGACCCGCAUCCUCUGUUGCAACUAGCUUUGAGCUGGGCACACUGAGGAGACCGCCACUGAUAAAGUGGAGGAAGGAGCGGGCCACGGCAGGUCAGUAUGCCCCGAAUCUCCCGGGCCACACGCGAGCUGCAAUGGCAGGUACAAUGAGUUCCGACCUCGAAAGGGGAAGGCAAUCCCGAAAGCCUGCCGUAGUUGGGAUCGAGGGCUGUAACCCGUCCUCGUGAACAUGGAAUCCCUGGUAAUCGCGUGUCAUUAGCGCGCGGUGAAUACGUCCCUGCUCCUUGC